GUAUAUAAAAAAAAUAACCAUGUUAAAAUAUAUUAUAUUUUCUUAAAUAGUACACAUUUUUACGAUACAUUUAUAAUGACAAAAAACCAACUAGUUCAUAUGACGACAACGAUAAUUAUUGUAUGAUGGUAGUUGUCUGAAGUCAUAAAAAGCUUAUCGGUAUGCUUAUUCAUUAGAGCGGUUCGAUUCCUGAAACUAUCUCUAGUCUGAUUAAGUGUGGUAACAGUUUAAGAUGAGUCAAAGAUUCUGGUUGAACAGUUCUCCUUCGACACUAACUGGAAGAAAUAAUUGUUUUAUCAUUUGUCUAAAUAGACUAGCUAGAAUGUGACCAGAGGAAGAUUAAAUGGACAUAUCAUAUAUUUCUCCAUGGACACUGUAAUCCAUGACGGAUUUUUGACACUAUAUUUGAAUAUUUGUUGUUGAAGUUAAUUGGAUUUUGUGCAAAACCCCUGGAAGAAUAUUCUGUAUCAGACUAACAGUAUAAACGCCACCCAGUAUUUCUGUUUACCUGCUGUUAAACAUCGUAGUAUCAUCUCCAAUCUCUUUAUAUUUUGUUUAAUUUUAUUUAAAAAAGUCGCAUUAUAAUUUAUUAUUAAUCAACUGUAAUUCAGUUGUUUAUUUAUUGAAUAACUUAUUAUCCUGUCUUCAACGUCCAUAUAAACUGUACUGUAUUUAUGACCACUACACUGAUAUCUCAUUUGGCUAAAUAUUUUUAAUU
Molecule: long non-coding RNA, 718 nt
Organism: Adelges cooleyi (spruce gall adelgid)
Lineage: Eukaryota; Metazoa; Arthropoda; Insecta; Hemiptera; Adelgidae
Exons: 4
Source: RefSeq, a predicted model, not a curated record